This 513-nucleotide ribosomal RNA is filed under the name uncultured bacterium. RNAcentral's name for it is "partial 16S ribosomal RNA". It matches the Rfam family "Bacterial small subunit ribosomal RNA", at positions 28 to 523 of the family's 1533-position model. The record is from RNAcentral.
GAUGAACGCUGGCGGCGUGCCUAAUACAUGCAAGUCGAACGCGCAGCGAAAGGUGCUUGCACCUUUCAAGCGAGUGGCGAACGGGUGAGUAACACGUGGAUAACCUGCCUCAAGGCUGGGGAUAACAUUUGGAAACAGAUGCUAAUACCGAAUAAAACUUAGUAUCGCAUGAUACAAAGUUAAAAGGCGCUACGGCGUCACCUAGAGAUGGAUCCGCGGUGCAUUAGUUAGUUGGUGGGGUAAAGGCUUACCAAGACGAUGAUGCAUAGCCGAGGUGAGAGACUGCUCGGACACAGUGGGACUGAGAAACGGCCCAAACUCCUACGGGGGGCUGCAGUAGGGAAUCUUCCACAAUGGGCGCAAGCCUGAUGGAGCAACGCCGCGUGUGUGAUGAAGGCUUUCGGGUCGUAAAGCACUGUUGUAUGGGAAGAAAUGCUAAAAUAGGGAAUGAUUUUAGUUUGACGGUACCAUACCAGAAAGGGACGGCUAAAUACGUGCCAGCAGCCGCGGUAA